Molecule: long non-coding RNA, 2359 nt
Organism: Ailuropoda melanoleuca (giant panda)
Lineage: Eukaryota; Metazoa; Chordata; Mammalia; Carnivora; Ursidae
Exons: 4
Source: RefSeq, a predicted model, not a curated record
CUGGGUAGCGCCCGGCUGGGCGCUCUACCCUGUGCGAAGAACUCCACGCAGUCUCCCAUAGAAGCUUCUCAGCAGCCUCGCAAAGGGGGAAUUCUGCUAACUGCGUGGGGGAAAGGACUGUGAGGAAACUCCCCCGGACCAUCACGUACUUUGAAUGCUGGUUUGUGCAGUGCUUUCCCCCGCAGAGGUGGGAAGGCCUCAGAGACCUUGAAACAGGCGGGCAACAGGAGAGGGAAGACAUCAUCUCUGCAGUUCAGGAAGCCCAUGGUGUAGCUGUUUGGACGGUGGACUGGAGAAGCCAAGAGGGUCGGAGGAAGAAGAGAUGCUCCGGAAAAGGUCUUGAGAAAGAUCCAAGAGGUUGAAACCCAGGACGAGCCAGCUCCAAGAAGCCCAGGGAGGAGAGUGCACAAGGGAACGUGAGCCAGGGUACGACGAGAGUGCCCGCUUCUGCGUGGGGCCUCAACGGAGUCUCUGCCUGCGCCCAGCGAGAGGAUCCCCCGGGCCCUCCCUGGGCUUCCUGCCUCCUCGCUGGGGGCUCUGGGUAUUCUGUGGUCACCCCAGGGCCUUCCCUCCCCCACCUGAGGGCCAUCAUCGCUCUGCCUGCCCUCCAGCGUAUUUGGAGCUUCAGAUGCGAGAUGGGAGACAGUGCUCUAUAAACUGACCAAUGCAUGACCUCUGAUUCAUUCUAAGUCUCAGGCUCUUCCACGGCUAGCUGGCUGUGUUUUCUCUUGUCUUUGGUGGCUGCUUGGCUCACCUUUUUCUGCUCCAAUGAUGUCUGUUCUGACUUGUUCCGUGGCCCGCUGUUAUUCAGUGGCUGGCCCGUCCCGGGGUUUGCCGUUCAGCCCUGAUUUUUGGAGGGUGACUCUGCCCUGGGGCCUGCUCCUCUCCUCACUCCCUCUCAUCUUCAAGGUCUUCCUUCUUCUCUACCAUCUUUUCCCCCAAGAGACCCAAGUUUCGACCAUAAUCUCAAAGACGAACGAAAAUUCCUCUUCUCCCUACUCUUCCUCCAGCAACCUCUCCAUUUGCAUUCCUUCCUAACCAAGUCUCUCCAGUAAUUAUCUACGUUUCUUCAUCUCCCCUCUGCCCUCUUUUUUUUUUUUUUAAUCAUCUCUCUCUCUCUCUCUCUGUUUUCCCUGUUUGUCUCUUAAUUCUUUGCAGUCAGGCUUCUGCUCCCACUUGUCCACUGAAACUUUUCGUAAUGAUCACUGUAGUGGGUUAAAUGCUGACUCCCGUAGGAUAUGUCCAAAUCCUAACCCCCGGAACCCAUGAAGGUGAACUUAUUUGGAAAAGGGGUCUUUGCAGAUGUAAUUAAGUGAAAGAUCUCAAGAUGAGAUUAGCCUGGAUUUAGGGGGGUGGCAGGUAAGUUUACAAGAGCAAGUCAGGGAGAUCUGGGACUGACGCACGGGGAGGAUGGCUACGUGACACAGAGGCAGAGGUCAUCGUUACACAGCCACAGCCAAGAAACACCAAGGAUCACCAGCAUCCACUGGAGGCAAGGAGAGAGGCAUGAAUCAAGUCUCCCUCCGAGGCUCAGAAGGGUCCCUGCCGAUAUCUUCAUUUCAGACUUCUGGGCCUCCGGAACUAUGAGGCCACACGUUUCUGUGGAUUUGAGCCACCCAGUUUGCCGUGGUUUGUUAUGGUUGUCCAAGAAAGUAAUUCAGUAAUAAUACUAGCGGCCGACAUUUAUGGAGUGUCUACCCUGUGCCUGGCCUGGUUCUGAAUGCCUUACAUGCGUUAUUUCAUUGAAUUCCCACCAACCCGAUAAAGUGGGCAUACGGUAAUAAAAACAAUGUCAACAAAAGCAGUAAGGGAGAGUUUGCCGUGUCUUUGGCAUUUAAAAAUUGAACGUCUAUCUGAGCGGUGUGUUUUAUUUUUCUCUUUUAGAGAUGAGGAACCCGCAGACCCAAAACUUAUGUAACUGCCCAAAGUUACACAACGCAUAGGUAGUGAUGCCAGGAUUUCAACCCCGGUACCUCCUUGGGUGCCCGUAACCACUUUGCACUUCUUCUCAGGCUCCUGGCAAAGAGGGAGCCCAGGAGGCUGAUGGGCGGAUUGACCCAGGGCUGGAUUUUGUACAGUUGCAGGGCUGGAAGGGGCCAAGGGGCUGGAGACCUCUGCGAAACCGUGUACAACACACUGGAAGUGUCCCACGGGGGGACGAAGAAGCUGGAACAUUUGUGUCCUCCAAUCCUGUUGCCACGGGAAGCCCUUGGGCAGGGACCAGCCGCUCUUUGUCGCCAGGCCACAGAGAGUUAAAUACCAACGUUCUGCGCAAGCAUUUAGAAAGAUUUUGCAGCAAUUUGACAUAGAUAGAGACAGCCAGCGAGAGAGAGAACACAAGCAGGGGGAGUGGGAGAGG